Molecule: non-coding RNA, 1026 nt
Filed under: Meretrix lusoria
Lineage: Eukaryota; Metazoa; Mollusca; Bivalvia; Venerida; Veneridae
Source: RNAcentral
GUUUAAAACUGUGUGUUUUAAGUUGGUUUUGGUUUGGUAGUUUGAUAUAUAUUAUGGGUUAGAAGUGUGGGCUUUCAGCACUAUAUUAGUUUAAUUGUUAUACAAUUGUCGUGCAUGAAAUUAAAAGAGUUCUUGAGAGGGGGAAGUCGGUGAAAUUAAAAUUUUAAUAGUUUUUCUUGAUCGAUUGUGUCUAUUAGCUUAUCGCCUUAUUAUUCUGGGUUGAGUUGCGUUAAUGGACGAUUUAAUUUCUCAACAUCAGCAGUUAAAUUUUGCGUAUUAUAGAAAUAUAGAGUAGGGAAUUGUCUUAAGGAGGGAUAAAUGGUGUGCCAGCAUUCGCGGUUAAACACCACCUUCAAAUUAAUAUUUUCGUAGACCAGUAAAGUUUAAAUGGGUUAAAGUUUUAUCGGCAGAUUUAGCGGUGAAAUGCGUAAUAAUCAUAAUCAGACUUUGUGUUUGGUGGUGCUGUGUGUUUUGGGACUUAAAAAAUUUAAGCUGAGGAAGCUGUUAUAAAAGACAAGGAUUAGAUACCCUUUUAUUUACGUCGAAACUAAUUAUCUACGGGUAUAAUGAACGUUUUAAUAUGUUUUAUAACUUAUGAAAGUUGGCGGUAUUUUGUAACCGUUUAGGGGAACUUGGCGUUUAAAUCGAUGAUCCUCGAAAAUCUUACCUUUAAUUUUCCUUUCAUAUCGCCGUUGUUAGUGGGUUUUGAAAAAUUGACUCGCGUCGAACAAAUGUUAAGUUUUUAAUUAUUUUGUAAUAAUUCAGGUAAACAUGUAGGUGUUUUAAAGGGAUUAGCUGAGUUACAAUUAUAAAGUAAAACGGAUGGAAGUCUAUUGACUUAAACCCUAGUUUGGGUUUUUGUUUAAUAUUCUGAAAAGUGUUCCCGAAGGUGGACUUAAUAGUAAAAUUUUUUAUAUGUAAGGAAUUUGAAUAGAGUACGAAAAUGUGUACAAAUCGCCCGGCGUCCUUUUUGUAAAAAGAGGUAAGUCGUAACAUAGUGACGUUAGUAGAAACUGGCGUCGAUGA